UAAUCUUUGUAAUCCUGUU
This 19-nucleotide microRNA is filed under the name Ciona intestinalis (vase tunicate). RNAcentral's name for it is "cin-miR-4217-3p". Lineage: Eukaryota; Metazoa; Chordata; Ascidiacea; Phlebobranchia; Cionidae. The record is from miRBase by way of RNAcentral.